Molecule: ribosomal RNA, 382 nt
Filed under: uncultured Glomus
Lineage: Eukaryota; Fungi; Glomeromycota; Glomeromycetes; Glomerales; Glomeraceae
Description: SSU rRNA
Rfam family: Eukaryotic small subunit ribosomal RNA
Source: RNAcentral
AGCAGCCGCGGUAAUUCCAGCUCCAAUAGCGUAUAUUAAAGUUGUUGCAGUUAAAAAGCUCGUAGUUGAAUUUCGGGACUAGUACGUCGGUCGUGCCUUCGGUACGUACUGGUGUUACUGAUUCCUACCUUCUGACGAAUCAUCAUGUCAUUAAUUUGGUGUGGCGGGGAAUCAGGACUGUUACUUUGAAAAAUUGAGUGUUUAAAGCAGGCUCGCGCUUGAAUACAUUAGCAUGGAAUAAUGAAAUAGGACGUUGACCCUAUUUUGUUGGUUUCUAGGAUUGACGUAAUGAUUAAUAGGGAUAGUUGGGGGCAUUAGUAUUCAAUUGUCAGAGGUGAAAUUCUUGGAUUUAUUGAAGACUAACUACUGCGAAAGCAUUUGC